Epinephelus moara (kelp grouper) is the source of this 483-nucleotide long non-coding RNA. RefSeq lists it as uncharacterized. The transcript is spliced from 3 exons. Lineage: Eukaryota; Metazoa; Chordata; Actinopteri; Perciformes; Serranidae. The record is from RefSeq and is a predicted model, not a curated record.
CUGCUCAGCCCUUAGAUAGCGAGUGUGUAUCAGUGCAGACUUCUGAUGAGCCCAGCAGGAAGCGCAACAUCACAAUGGAGGAAACAACGUACAUAUGGACAGAAGAAAAAACAAAGCAGUUAAUCGAUCUACGGAUUAAAAAUGAGAGUCUCUUCACUAAAAAGAGGAAUGGGAUGGAGAGUGGCGAGGGCGUCCCAUCUGUUUGGCUUCUCUUUCACACUUCCCCUUAAUCAGGAGUGCCCUCCACAGCUGCGAGUGUAACUUGAUUUGGAGUGACACUCGGUAGUGAAGUGGUAGUGGGUAGGGAGUGGUUUGGGAUUGGGCCUCUGUCUCCAAGCACUCACACCUUGACUGAGUGUUUGUCAGAUGUUUGCCAUGUGUCUUUUGGUUUGAUCUCCAAUGUAAGUAGUUUCUUUAUAUUCCUUUAAUUAUAGUGUUUCUGACAUGAAGAAUGGAUAAUUUAUUUGAUCUAAUUUGUUAAAU